ACGAACGCUGGCGGCGUGCUUAAAACAUGCAAGUCGAACGGUGUCUCCGCAAGGGGGCACAGUGGCGAACGGCUGAGUAACACGUGAGUGACCUGUCCUUGGGUGGGGGAUAACAGCCCGAAAGGGCUGCUAAUACCGCAUGUGACCUUUGGGGUAGAGCCCAAAGGGGAAAGGUAUUUCGCCCGUGGAGGGGCUCGCGGCCCAUCAGGUAGUUGGUAGGGGUAACGGCCCACCAAGCCGAUGACGGGUAGCUGGUCUGAGAGGAUGGCCAGCCAGACUGGGACUGAGAAACGGCCCAGACUCCUACGGGAGGCAGCAGUUAGGAAUCUUGCGCAAUGGGGGAAACCCUGACGCAGCGACGCCGCGUGGGUGAAGAAGGCCUUCGGGUCGUAAAGCCCUUUUCCGAGGGACGAUAAUGACGGUACCUCGGGAAUAAGCCCCGGCUAACUACGU
This 453-nucleotide ribosomal RNA is filed under the name uncultured bacterium. Its description in RNAcentral is "bacterial SSU rRNA". It matches the Rfam family "Bacterial small subunit ribosomal RNA", at positions 29 to 506 of the family's 1533-position model. The record is from RNAcentral.